ACGAGUGAUGGCGGCGUAUACCUG
Molecule: microRNA, 24 nt
Filed under: Oryza sativa (Asian cultivated rice)
Lineage: Eukaryota; Viridiplantae; Streptophyta; Magnoliopsida; Poales; Poaceae
Description: osa-miR5805
Source: miRBase by way of RNAcentral